UACGGAAGGCAGCAGUGGGGAAUAUUGCACAAUGGGCGAAAGCCUGAUGCAGCUAUGCCGCGUGUAUGAAGAAGGCCUUAGGGUUGUAAAGUACUUUCAUCGGGGAGGAAAAAAACAAAACUAAUAAUUUUAUUUCUUGACGUUACCCGAAAAAGAAGCACCGGCUAACUCCGUGCCAGCAGCCGCGGUAAUACGGAGGGUGCUAGCGUUAAUCAGAAUUACUGGGCGUAAAGAGCACGUAGGUGGUUUUUUAAGUCAGAUGUGAAAUCCCUGGGCUUAACCUAGGAACUGCAUUUUGAAACUGAAAUACUAGAGUAUCGUAGAGGGAGGUAGAAUUCUAGGUGUAGCGGUGAAAUGCGUAGAUAUCUGGAGGAAUACCUGUGGCGAAAGCGGCCUCCUAAACGAAUACUGACACUGAGGGUGCGAAAGCGUGGGGAGCAAACAGGGAUUAGAUACC
RNAcentral lists this ribosomal RNA (457 nucleotides) under uncultured bacterium. RNAcentral's name for it is "bacterial SSU rRNA". It matches the Rfam family "Bacterial small subunit ribosomal RNA", at positions 340 to 786 of the family's 1533-position model. The record is from RNAcentral.